CCUACGGGUGGCAGCAGUGAGGAAUAUUGGUCAAUGGCCGGAAGGCUGAACCAGCCAUGCCGCGUGAAGGUCAGUGCCCUAUGGGCGUUAAACUUCUUUUGUGCGGGAGCAAUAAUGGUCACGUGUGGCCAGACGAGAGUACCGUACGAAUAAGCAUCGGCUAACUCCGUGCCAGCAGCCGCGGUCAUACGGGGGGUGCAAGCGUUAUCCGGAUUUAUUGGGGUUUAAGGGUGCGUAGGCUGUGAGGUAAGUCAGCGGGGAAAUACCCACGCUCAACGGGGUGAAGUGCCAUUGAUACUGCCUUGCUGGAAUGCGGAUGCCGUGGGAGGAAUGUGUGGUGUAGCGGUGAAAUGCAUAGAUAUCACACAGAACACCGAUUGCGAAGGCAUCUCACGAAUCCGCAAUUGACGCUGAUGCACGAAAGCGUGGGUAUCAAACAGGAUUAGAUACCCCAGUAGUC
This 460-nucleotide ribosomal RNA is filed under the name uncultured bacterium. RNAcentral describes it as "partial 16S ribosomal RNA". It matches the Rfam family "Bacterial small subunit ribosomal RNA", at positions 338 to 795 of the family's 1533-position model. The record is from RNAcentral.